Long non-coding RNA from Megalobrama amblycephala (Wuchang bream), 2174 nucleotides. RefSeq lists it as uncharacterized. The record is from RefSeq and is a predicted model, not a curated record. The transcript is spliced from 3 exons. NCBI's taxonomy places the organism in Eukaryota, Metazoa, Chordata, Actinopteri, Cypriniformes, Xenocyprididae.
AUCCUUUUGUUUUUUUAUGCUAUUAAAAUAACAAUGUCUUGAUUUUCUAAUGCAUAAAAAGUAAUUAACUAAUUCAUAAACGGUUCUUCUCUGUGCGGCAUUCAAGGGUGACCUUUUCCACUCCACACAAAAUGCUUAAUGUACUUUUGUAAUCGACAUUAUUACAAUAUCACGAGUUAAUGAACAUUAUAACACGAGCAUUAUAACAUAAUAACAUUGAACACGAGUUAAUGUUAAUCAACAUUAAUGAUGUUUUACAGUUAAAAGGCAAAAAGUUGCUGUCGUGCAUGAUGCAAGAUUAAGUAUGCAUCGUCUUUUGUCAAAUUCAUACAUUUAAUCCAUAAAUUAAAUGAGUAACCAAACAAAAUAACUGCCGAAAAAUAGCUGACGAAUUCAGUAUCAAAAUUCAUCUUUGCAAUGCUGAGGAAAUAGAUGCAGCAUCUGAAAUAUCAUUGUUUAAUGCAGCUUACAUUGGAUCAACAAUGACUUAAUUAAUAGCUAAUUAAUAAAGGACAAAAAGUAAUACUUUGAUUUAAACAUAAAACGUUGAAUAUUUAUUUUUUUAUUUAUUUUAAAUUAAAAAUUGAAUCUAUAAUUAAAAAAAUUAAAAUUAAGACCGCCACUAGGUGGCAGCAAGUCACCUUUAUUAAGUGAGUCAUUGAGAUUCAACAGAUUCAUUUGGCUUGUUCAUUCAGGAACGAAGCGUUAUAAUGUACAGCGAGUCAUCAAACAAUUCGUUCUGAUAGAUAGAUAGAUAGAUAGAUAGAUAGAUAGAUAGAUAGAUAGAUAGAUAGUACAAGUUACUUAUAUGUAAUUGUAAUUUACACUAACAGCCUCAAUGAUUCAUUUUUUAUUAGUGAGAAUAUUUUAAAAUCUUAAUCAUAACAUCUGUAGCAACAACUCGUAAUAAAAAAAAAUUAUAUUGUAGGAACAUCUGUGGUGAUGUCACAGUAACCAGGUUAAGGUGAUGAGGAAAUUAAAUUGCUACAUUUGAAGUCACAAUUGCACUGCUUCCACCAAAAUGAAAAAAAAAAAGCAUAUUCAGAGGUCUUGAAGGGACGGUGACAAUUGAAGUGAAAUGUGAAAAUACAUUUAAAUGUGGCAUGCAAGAUUACCUUUCAUACUCUUUUUUUUUUUUAAAGUGUUGAGCAUUACAACCAAUCACACACAUCUCUUUUGAGCUCAUGAAGCAAUAACCAAUCAGAUGAGUUUAGAUUAGUUACCGGUGAAGAAAAAUCUGCUAAUAUCGCGGGAGUUUUGUAGCUCUCGCACCAUGUGCUCAGUCAGUGACGCAGGACUUUCUGAGGGGAAAUUUCAGUCAGUGUGUGACGCACCCUGAAAACUCUGAAUACAGAUGCGAUGCAACUGGAGUUUCAUUGGGAGUUUUUCAAUUAGAACAUCUGGAUUUCCUGAGAAGAUUGCCUCAGGAACUAUGUACACUACUGAGUCACUGCUGAGGAAGUGGCAGGUUUCAUUGAUCUCAGAGACCCCGAUGAUGUCCACCUCUACAUCCUCUACCUGGCCCUCCGGGAUCUGUUGGGGGAGGGGGAUAUUAAUGGAUAUUAAAUUCUUGUUUAAUUGACCUGUUGCAUUAAAAAAGAUCACAUUUCAUCUUUAGCCUAUUAUCAGAUUGCAGUUGUGCUGAUGAUCAGAACAGUUGAGCUUUUGUUCUUGUUAUAUUCACUCAUUAACGUAGGUUUACAGUUCCAAAAUGCAUGUUAUACUUGAAUGACAUAGCAGCAGUAAUGUGUGCAUUAAUUACCUUCACAGAAGUAUAUGUAGAGGAGUGAAAUUUCCCCUCCCCAUUGUUUAGCAUACAGGGACGAAGGUGGGUCAGAAUGACUUCGUCGCCUACAUAUAGAUCUGUCAGAGCCUCAUCCCUCCACAAUGACACGUUGAACAGUUUCUGUCCACACUGCAGCUGGAUGUCGAGAAUGGGCACAUGGGUGCGUGUCAUCCUCGCGCCACGCACCUAGGAUAUUAAAAUUCAUGGGGAGACAUCAAAAGUAUGCGGUGUUGAGGGUUCCUGGAAGUCCACAGUGCCAUCAUGAUUGACAGAUAAAAAUCCAUGUCCUUCCUUCUUCAAUUGAAAAGAAAUUAAGGUUUCUGAUAAACAUUCUAGGACUAUUCUCCUUAUAGUGGACUACCAUGGUCUCCAAACAUUUUAAGGUCAA